This 550-nucleotide ribosomal RNA is filed under the name uncultured Planctomycetota bacterium. Its description in RNAcentral is "bacterial SSU rRNA". It matches the Rfam family "Bacterial small subunit ribosomal RNA", at positions 8 to 534 of the family's 1533-position model. Lineage: Bacteria; Pseudomonadati; Planctomycetota. The record is from RNAcentral.
AGACUUUGAUCCUGGCUCAGAAUCAACGCUGGCGGCGUGCCUAACACAUGCAAGUCGAGCGAGAAAGGGGGCUUCGGCCCCUGAGUAGAGCGGCGGACGGGUGAGUAACACGUGGGUAAUCUGCCCUCGGGUGGGGAAUAACUCAGGGAAACCUGGGCUAAUUCCGCAUGACAUUUUUGGUACAUACGUAUCGAAAAUCAAAGCUGGGGACCCUUCGGGGCCUGGCGCCUGGGGAGGAGCCCGCGGCCAAUUAGCUUGAUGGUGAGGUAAUGGCUCACCAUGGCUACGAUUGGUAGCCGGCCUGAGAGGGCGGACGGUCACACUGGGACUGAGACACGGCCCAGACUCCUACGGGAGGCAGCAGUGGGGAAUUUUUGUCAAUGGGGGAAACCCUGAACAAGCAACGCCGCGUGAAGGACGAAGACCUUCGGGUUGUAAACUUCUGUCGGAGGGGACGAAAGCAGUAUUGGUUAAUACCCAAUAUUGNUGACGGUCCCUACCAAGAAACCCCNGUUACUUCCGUGCCACAACCGCGGUAAUACCGGGGGGG